UACGGGGGGUGCGAGCGUUGUCCGGAAUCACUGGGCGUAAAGGGCGCGUAGGUGGUUUGAUAAGGGUGUGGUGAAAGCCCGGGGCUCAACCCCGGGUCUGCCGUGCCGACUGUCAAACUCGAGGGCUGUAGAGGCAGACGGAAUUCCGGGUGUAGCGGUGGAAUGCGUAGAGAUCCGGAAGAACACCGGUGGCGAAGGCGGCCUGCUGGGCAGUUGCUGACACUGAGGCGCGACAGCGUGGGGAGCAAACAGG
This 253-nucleotide ribosomal RNA is filed under the name uncultured bacterium. RNAcentral describes it as "partial 16S ribosomal RNA". It matches the Rfam family "Bacterial small subunit ribosomal RNA", at positions 524 to 776 of the family's 1533-position model. The record is from RNAcentral.